This 486-nucleotide ribosomal RNA is filed under the name uncultured Flavobacteriaceae bacterium. RNAcentral describes it as "bacterial SSU rRNA". It matches the Rfam family "Bacterial small subunit ribosomal RNA", at positions 28 to 505 of the family's 1533-position model. The record is from RNAcentral. Lineage: Bacteria; Pseudomonadati; Bacteroidota; Flavobacteriia; Flavobacteriales; Flavobacteriaceae.
GAUGAACGCUAGCGGCAGGCCUAACACAUGCAAGUCGAACGGUAACAGGAAAAAGCUUGCUUUUUUGCUGACGAGUGGCGCACGGGUGCGUAACGCGUAUACAAUCUACCUUUUACAGGGGGAUAGCCUUUAGAAAUGAAGAUUAAUACCCCAUAGUAUCUAGCUCUCGCAUGGGAGUUGGAUUAAAAUUUCGGUGGUAAGAGAUGAGUAUGCGUCCUAUUAGCUAGUUGGUAUGGUAACGGCAUACCAAGGCAACGAUAGGUAGGGGCCCUGAGAGGGGGAUCCCCCACACUGGUACUGAGACACGGACCAGACUCCUACGGGAGGCAGCAGUGAGGAAUAUUGGACAAUGGGCGGAAGCCUGAUCCAGCCAUGCCGCGUGCAGGAAGACUGCCCUAUGGGUUGUAAACUGCUUUUAUAUGGGAAGAAACCCACUUACGUGUAAGUGGCUGACGGUACCAUAAGAAUAAGCAUCGGCUAACUCCG